This 479-nucleotide ribosomal RNA is filed under the name uncultured bacterium. Its description in RNAcentral is "partial 16S ribosomal RNA". It matches the Rfam family "Bacterial small subunit ribosomal RNA", at positions 28 to 523 of the family's 1533-position model. The record is from RNAcentral.
GACGAACGCUGGCGGCGUGCUUAACACAUGCAAGUCGAACGAUGAACCCGGAGCUUGCUCCGGUGGAUUAGUGGCGAACGGGUGAGUAACACGUGAGUAACCUGCCCUUGACUCUGGGAUAACUGCGGGAAACUGUAGCUAAUACCGGAUACGACCCUCGGCGGCAUCGCCAGGGGGUGGAAAGAAUUUCGGUCAAGGAUGGACUCGCGGCCUAUCAGCUAGUUGGUGAGGUAACGGCUCACCAAGGCGACGACCAGUAGCUGGUCUGAGAGGAUGAUCAGCCACAUUGGGACUGAGACACGGCCCAAACUUCUACGGGAGGCAGCAGUGGGGAAUAUUGGACAAUGGGCGCAAGCCUGAUCCAGCCAUGCCGCGUGAGUGAUGAAGGCCUUAGGGUUGUAAAGCUCUUUCGUCCGGGACGAUAAUGACGGUACCGGAAGAAGAAGCCCCGGCUAACUUCGUGCCAGCAGCCGCAGUAA